Long non-coding RNA from Lepidothrix coronata (blue-crowned manakin), 1183 nucleotides. RefSeq lists it as uncharacterized. The record is from RefSeq and is a predicted model, not a curated record. Lineage: Eukaryota; Metazoa; Chordata; Aves; Passeriformes; Pipridae. The transcript has 8 exons.
GGUUUGCAAAGGUUUUACAUCCCUGAGGUGGAAUGUUGCUGGGUUUGGAGAGUUUUUGGCUGGAAAUCCCAGGCCACUUCCAGACCAUCAGAUUCUUCCACCUUAACCCUCCUUGGAGUGUGUGGAGUUUCUCCCUUGUGAUGGGGACACUCCUGGAGGUUCAGAGAGAGAGAUCUGCCCACAGGCUUUGGUUUGCUGAACCUGGAUUAAAGGAGAAUUGAUCUGGCAGGAGAUUUAUUUAAAUGCCAUCACCUGAAUCCUCAUCCCCACACACCUGGGGAAACCCUGGGGGGACUUGUCUGGAGCUGAUGGUUCCUGUUCCACUGUGCUCCCCAAGGAACUGCAGGAAUCCACAGAACCAGAACAUCUUUCCAAGCUGCACCCCAUGAAAUCCAAAGUGUUCCUGAGGACUCUCCGAGCAAACCUUUGGCAAUUCCAGAUCUUCAACCAAGAGUGGUGUGUUCCUAAUCAAGAGUCCCAUGGUUUGGUUUGAUGAUCUUGGAGGUCUUUUUCCAAUGUUGAUGAGAAGCUGAAGAACAUUUUGAGGUGCCACCGGAACCAGGAGAACAAUGACAGAAACACAGAAGAGCAAGCUGUGUGUGAGCUGCUAAUUGAAACCAUCUCCUGGGCUCCAGCUGGUGGAGUUCCAGCCGGGAGGAGGGAGGAGGCUCCUUCGGCGUGGCAGUGAAGGAAACCUGAGCAUGUGUCUGAGUAAAUGCAGAAAUGGGGCCUGACACUUUAAUUCUGAAGGUGCAUCACUGAGAACUCAGUCUGACCCAGGACUCCAACAGGGAGAAAAACACACCUAUAGAACAGCUCAUGGAAAGAAAGAAAAUAGCAAACAGCAAUUAAAUGUGAUAUUCUGAUGGAUUUACAUAUGGAUGAAGCAAAUAAAUCUGAAAUUAUAUAUAUAUUAUCCUUUUCAGAAAUAUUAAUUAACUGCUGGUGAACUUAAUUAAGGUCAUGAAGGGGUUACAUAAAUCAAACAUUGCUCUUAGGGCGUUGCACCCUUGACAUUCCCUGUGUAGGGAAUCAUGGAAUAUUGGAAUAUCCAACUCUUUUCUUGUCUUCCUUCCUCCUCCUAUAGUUUCUCCCUCUGGAAAUUUGUACACCUUGCAAAAGUAACCCUGUCCUGGGCAAAUUUAUGGGCCAAUUUUUUAAAUCCAGGGAUAAUAUUCCCGUU